Molecule: long non-coding RNA, 686 nt
Filed under: Zostera marina
Lineage: Eukaryota; Viridiplantae; Streptophyta; Magnoliopsida; Alismatales; Zosteraceae
Description: long non-coding RNA (ZMAR_LNC004379)
Source: RNAcentral
UAUUUCAGCAUUUUUGCAAAAAAAAUAAAGAUGAAAAGAAGGCAAAAGAGGAGAGGGUCUUAUACAUUAAAUCUUGAAAGAAAUUAGAUACCAACCUUUACUGUGAUAAUUGUUAAUAUCAUGGUGUCACAGUACCAUUCAACACCAGUGAAGUGUUAGAAUGGUUACGACAGGAUCUGGAGAUUAACGAGGAGGUUGAGCAGGAGAUAGACGAAGAAGAUGAACAAGAUUUGGGGCGUGGAAAACGGAAGAAGAAGGCUAAUCAGAUGAAGCAUUCGGUUAUUACAAGUAAAGUAGUUGUAAUAGUCUAGUUACUUUGUAAACCUGAAAUAGAAACUAUAAAUAAAACCUAUGGAUGAUGAGAUAGGCAUCCAACGAUUGAAACCAUUGUCAUCUUCCUCCUACGGCUCCUACUGGAGAUUAUCCUCUUCUUCUCACCUACGGCCCGUCACGGGAUUUCUUCCUUUCUUUUUCUCUGAUCCAAUCACGUCCAGAACGUAGUUGUUCCACAUGGUCAUGAAAGGAUUGCUAUCACAUUGUGGGAUUUCCCAAGAAAUGAAAGAAUAAGAAAGAGAGCAAGAAAGAGCAACUAUAAAAGAAGGCCAAAAUAGAAUAUCAGGCAAAUCAACUCUACCUUUGCAAGCCCUGCACUAACCAAUGAAAAAUUGAAAUAUUUAAAGAUUUUU